UAGGGAAUCUUCCACAAUGGACGAAAGCCUGAUGGAGCAACGCCGCGUGUGUGAUGAAGGGUUUCGGCUCGUAAAACACUGUUGUAAGAGAAGAAUGACAUUGAGAGUAACUGUUCAAUGUGUGACGGUAUCUUACCAGAAAGGAGCGGCUAAAUACGUGCCAG
RNAcentral lists this ribosomal RNA (164 nucleotides) under uncultured bacterium. RNAcentral describes it as "partial 16S ribosomal RNA". It matches the Rfam family "Bacterial small subunit ribosomal RNA", at positions 355 to 511 of the family's 1533-position model. The record is from RNAcentral.